RNAcentral lists this transfer RNA (83 nucleotides) under Salinicoccus kekensis. Its description in RNAcentral is "tRNA_Leu_TAG". It matches the Rfam family "tRNA". Rfam says of the family: Transfer RNA (tRNA) molecules are approximately 80 nucleotides in length. Their secondary structure includes four short double-helical elements and three loops (D, anti-codon, and T loops). Lineage: Bacteria; Bacillati; Bacillota; Bacilli; Caryophanales; Staphylococcaceae. The record is from RNAcentral. RNAcentral also lists the same sequence under 1 other name.
GCGGGUGUGGUGGAACUGGCAGACACGCUAGACUUAGGAUCUAGUGCCUUUACGGCGUGGGGGUUCGACUCCCUUCACCCGCA